GAUGAACGCUAGCUACAGGCUUAACACAUGCAAGUCGAGGGGCAGCAUGGUCUUAGCUUGCUAAGGCCGAUGGCGACCGGCGCACGGGUGAGUAACACGUAUCCAACCUGCCGUCUACUCUUGGACAGCCUUCUGAAAGGAAGAUUAAUACAAGAUGGCAUCAUGAGUCCGCAUGUUCACAUGAUUAAAGGUAUUCCGGUAGACGAUGGGGAUGCGUUCCAUUAGAUAGUAGGCGGGGUAACGGCCCACCUAGUCUUCGAUGGAUAGGGGUUCUGAGAGGAAGGUCCCCCACAUUGGAACUGAGACACGGUCCAAACUCCUACGGGAGGCAGCAGUGAGGAAUAUUGGUCAAUGGGCGAGAGCCUGAACCAGCCAAGUAGCGUGAAGGAUGAAGGUCCUACGGAUUGUAAACUUCUUUAUACGGGAAUAAAGUAUCCUACGUGUAGGAUUAUGUAUGUACCGUAUGAAUAAGCAUCGGCUAACUCCGUGCCAG
Molecule: ribosomal RNA, 493 nt
Filed under: uncultured bacterium
Lineage: Bacteria
Description: bacterial SSU rRNA
Rfam family: Bacterial small subunit ribosomal RNA
Source: RNAcentral